UUUCAGACUAUGAGAAGUGUUGUGCAAUGAUUUGCCUUCUCAUUGCAUUCCCAGCUAUUGCCCUUGCAUCCCGUCCUCCACCACCAGCUGGUGCAGGAACAAACACAGGUCCAUCUUUGUCAUCAGGGUUGACUACUACUUCAUCCAGGAGUGGAAGAUUCCUCUUUCUGCAGAAAUUAUGAAGCAACAUAGUUGCUGCAGCAAUCUUUCCACACUUCAAGGGACUAUAACAAAGUGUGCCACCUUUAUGAUGAACACACUUUAAGCGUGACUUCCAAAUGCCAAUUGCCUGCUCAACCACGACACGUGUUUUCUUCAGGCUGAUGUUGAAUCUUUGUUCGCCAGCAUUAGCUGGCAUUCCAAUUGGUGUCAUCAGGUGGUGGACCUCCUGCCAACCCUCCUCUCUCCCAGCUCGAUGAGUUAAUCUUUGAGAUUUUGGACCCCAAGAAUGUCUCUAUUCAUGGGUGUACCAAUAAGGCAAGCAUCAUUGAAUGCACCUUCCUUAACAAAGGAUAAGCCACUUGUAGAUAUAGCAAUAUUAGGCCAUAAUGUUGUCUCAAAUGUCUGCAAUCCAAAAUACUCAUGUUCCUAGUUAGUUUACAACUUAGUUAUACACAAUAUUAAAUUUGUUAUCUAGUGUUGAGAAUUUUUUUUUUUUUUUUUUUUAUUCCUUAACCAAACAGAUAAAACAGCAAUAAGAAAAGAAAAAAAACUAAUAAAGUUAACUUAAUUCCUAUCCCUUCUCCCCAUUCAUAAGUAUGGUGUUGUAGUGGGUGAAUGUGUUAAUGAUAACGAGUCUUAGGUAUUUACAGUUUCUUAGACAUGGGCUUCCUUCAAACAGAAUAGGAUUUAAGUCAAACACAUUGUACCCUUAGCUAGAUUUACUGGUUUCUGUUACUUUUGUCCUUAGCAAUAAAACCAAAAACAUUA
This is a long non-coding RNA of Portunus trituberculatus (swimming crab), 930 nucleotides long. RefSeq lists it as uncharacterized. The transcript is spliced from 2 exons. The record is from RefSeq and is a predicted model, not a curated record. NCBI's taxonomy places the organism in Eukaryota, Metazoa, Arthropoda, Malacostraca, Decapoda, Portunidae.